AAGACUUGUUUCUCCCCCAGGGUAGAGCUUUUGUGACAUCACACUAGAGCUGGAGGUAGAGAUAGUGACCUAGUUCUCAUGGAGUAGCACUGUUUGAGGAGGGCUCACUGGGAACAUGAUACGGUGGUCCCUAGUUUUCCUGGUUUGCCUUCCUCAAAGUAAAAUCUCUGCCUUAUGAAUGAGCUGAACAGGAUCAACUGGGACCCUGCUUUGGAUCAGCAUGACAUGCCUGGGGGGAGUUUCUAAUUUAUGAAUGAGGCUCCUUGGGGAAGAGAGACCUGAUCUCUCUGCUGCUCUUGCCUGGAAUAAAGCUCCUACAACAAGGGACUGAGAGAUGAGAAAAACCUGACAGCAUGCUCUUCACAAGUUGGAAAUGUAGUCCUACACUGAUGCUAUGAGGAAAGGGAGCCUCCAUCUUCAUCACUGUACUUACCAGAAUGAGAGCUCCUGGAACAUUUUCAUAAGAAGUGAUGUGGGGGAAGAAAAAGGACAGGAGUGAAAAUAAAUGUUUCCAGAAGAAAAAUGAGUCCAGUGGGAAUGUGUCAAACGUUUUAAUCAACAGCCUAAAUCUUUGGAGGAGAAAUGAUAAGUUCUUCUCAGGAAAUCUACCAUGAUGCCUAUACUAGUAAAGGAGCAAUCACUCUCCCUCCCAACAGAGCUGGCAUUCUUUCAGAUUGUCCCUUCUGUGCUCCAAGUUCAGAACACUUUUUAUUGAUGUAGUAUCUUUCAAAUUCAACUGAAAUGGGAAAAUAGAAUCACAAUGAGAUUUUACUAUGUUGAAAAAAGGUAAACUUACAAAUCUCAUAGUAAACAUUCUAUGUAAAACAGUGAAAAGAACGUCAACUUCUGAAUCACCCAAGUGACCUGGAUUUGAAUCCCACCAGGGAAACCAGAAAAAGCCAUUGAAUCUUCCUGACCUCAUUUUGUUCAAAG
RNAcentral lists this long non-coding RNA (933 nucleotides) under Vulpes vulpes (red fox). Its description in RNAcentral is "lncRNA (ENSVVUG00000014384.1)". The record is from RNAcentral. Lineage: Eukaryota; Metazoa; Chordata; Mammalia; Carnivora; Canidae.